This 253-nucleotide ribosomal RNA is filed under the name uncultured bacterium. RNAcentral's name for it is "partial 16S ribosomal RNA". It matches the Rfam family "Bacterial small subunit ribosomal RNA", at positions 524 to 776 of the family's 1533-position model. The record is from RNAcentral.
UACAGAGGUCUCAAGCGUUGUUCGGAAUCAUUGGGCGUAAAGCGCACGUAGGCGGUUCGUUAUGUCGGAUGUGAAAGCCCUUGGCUUAACCGAGGAAGUGCAUCCGAAACUGGCGAGCUAGAGUACGAAAGAGGAUCGCGGAAUUCCCGGUGUAGAGGUGAAAUUCGUAGAUAUCGGGAGGAACACCGGUGGCGAAGGCGGCGAUCUGGGUCGAUACUGACGCUGAGGUGCGAAAGCGUGGGGAGCAAACAGG